RNAcentral lists this ribosomal RNA (460 nucleotides) under uncultured bacterium. RNAcentral's name for it is "partial 16S ribosomal RNA". It matches the Rfam family "Bacterial small subunit ribosomal RNA", at positions 338 to 795 of the family's 1533-position model. The record is from RNAcentral.
CCUACGGGAGGCAGCAGUGAGGAAUAUUGGUCAAUGGACGAGAGUCUGAACCAGCCAAGUAGCGUGAAGGAUGACUGCCCUAUGGGUUGUAAACUUCUUUUAUAUGGGAAUAAAACGUUCCACGUGUGGGAUUUUGUAUGUACCAUAUGAAUAAGGAUCGGCUAACUCCGUGCCAGCAGCCGCGGUAAUACGGAGGAUCCGAGCGUUAUCCGGAUUUAUUGGGUUUAAAGGGAGCGUAGGUGGAUUGUUAAGUCAGUUGUGAAAGUUUGCGGCUCAACCGUAAAAUUGCAGUUGAAACUGGCAGUCUUGAGUAGAGUAGAGGUGGGCGGAAUUCGUGGUGUAGCGGUGAAAUGCUUAGAUAUCACGAAGAACUCCGAUUGCGAAGGCAGUUCACUGGACUGCAACUGACACUGAGGCUCGAAAGUGUGGGUAUCAAACAGGAUUAGAUACCCCAGUAGUC